RNAcentral lists this ribosomal RNA (303 nucleotides) under uncultured bacterium. RNAcentral's name for it is "partial 16S ribosomal RNA". It matches the Rfam family "Bacterial small subunit ribosomal RNA", at positions 507 to 807 of the family's 1533-position model. The record is from RNAcentral.
AGCAGUCGCCACGGGAAUACGUAGGUGGCAAGCGUUGUCCGGAAUUAUUGGGCGUAAAGGGCUCGCAGGCGGUUUCUUAAGUCUGAUGUGAAAGCCCCCGGCUCAACCGGGGAGGGUCAUUGGAAACUGGGAAACUUGAGUGCAGAAGAGGAGAGUGGAAUUCCACGUGUAGCGGUGAAAUGCGUAGAGAUGUGGAGGAACACCAGUGGCGAAGGCGACUCUCUGGUCUGUAACUGACGCUGAGGAGCGAAAGCGUGGGGAGUGAACAGGAUUAGAUACCCGCGUAGUCCCUGUCUCUUAUAC